GAGUUUGAUCAUGGCUCAGAUUGAACGCUGGCGGCAGGCCUAACACAUGCAAGUCGAGCGGUAGAGAGAAGCUUGCUUCUCUUGAGAGCGGCGGACGGGUGAGUAAUGCCUAGGAAUCUGCCUGGUAGUGGGGGAUAACGCUCGGAAACGGACGCUAAUACCGCAUACGUCCUACGGGAGAAAGCAGGGGACCUUCGGGCCUUGCGCUAUCAGAUGAGCCUAGGUCGGAUUAGCUAGUUGGUGAGGUAAAUGGCUCACCAAGGCGACGAUCCGUAACUGGUCUGAGAGGAUGGUCAGUCACACUGGAACUGAGACACGGUCCAGACUCCUACGGGAGGCAGCAGUGGGGAAUAUUGGACAAUGGGCGAAAGCCUGAUCCAGCCAUGCCGCGUGCGUGAAGAAGGUCUUCGGAUUGUAAAGCACUUUAAGUUGGGAGGAAGGGCAGUAAAUUAAUACUUUGCUGUUUUGACGUUUACCGACAGAAUAAGCACCGGCUAACUCUGUGCCAGCCGCCG
This 515-nucleotide ribosomal RNA is filed under the name uncultured bacterium. Its description in RNAcentral is "bacterial SSU rRNA". It matches the Rfam family "Bacterial small subunit ribosomal RNA", at positions 9 to 517 of the family's 1533-position model. The record is from RNAcentral.